GAUAGCUGGUUCUCCUCGAAAUAGCUUUAGGGCUAGCCUCAUGAGAGUCUUUUGGAGGUAGAGCACUGAAUGAAAGCGAGCCGCGCCAAGCGGUAUCAAUUUCAAUCAAACUCCGAAUUCCGAGAUGCUUAUUCUGGGAGUCAGACUGUGGGAGAUAAGUUUCAUGGUCAAAAGGGCAACAGCCCGGACCGCCAACUAAGGUCCCUAAAUUCGCGCUAAGUGUUAAAGGAUGUAGAGAUACUUAAACAGCUAGGAUGUUGGCUCAGAGGCAGCCAUCAUUUAAAGAAUGCGUAACAGCUCACUAGUCAAGUGUCUCCGCGCCGAAAAUUUACCGGGGCUAAGCGCGAUACCGAAGUUGCGGAUAUUUCUAAAGAAAUGUGGUAGGGGAGCGUUCCAUUAGCAUAGAAGCCAUACCGGAAGGAGUGGUGGAGCGAAUGGAAGUGAGAAUGCCGGCGUAAGUAACGAUAAGAGGUGAGAAUCCUCUUCACCAUUUGACUAAGGUUUCCUGGGCUAGGUUCGUCCACCCAGGGUCAGUCGGGACCUAAGACGAGGCCGAAAGGCGUAGCCGAUGGACAGCAGGUUAAUAUUCCUGAACCCGGUUGUGUGCGAUCGCAGUGACGAAAGCGGUUAGGUUUACCCACGAAUGGAAGUGUGGGGAGAUAGUGAUAAGCUGUCGGCUAGAAUCCGACACCAAGUGAAACACCGAAGUACGAAAGGGGUGACCUGAGUAGGAAGUAGCUGAUACCGAUUUCCAAGAAAAGCUGCUAGCUUAAGCACAAUCGGCCCGUACCGAGAACGGACACACGUGGUCAAGGAGAGUAUCCUAAGGUGAGCGAGAUAACUGUUGUUAAGGAACUCUGCAAAAUUACUUCGUAAGUUAGCGAGAAGAAGUGCUCCGUAAAAGGAGCCGCAGUGAAGAGGCCCAAGUAACUGUUUACCAAAAACACAGCUCUAUGCUAAGUCGUAAGACGAUGUAUAUGGGGUGAAGCCUGCCCGGUGCCGGAAGGUUAAUAGGAGAGGUGAAAGCUUUGAAUUGAAGCCCCGGUGAACGGCGGCCGUAACUAUAACGGUCCUAAGGUAGCGAAAUUCCUUGUCAGGUAAG
RNAcentral lists this ribosomal RNA (1102 nucleotides) under human gut metagenome. Its description in RNAcentral is "bacterial LSU rRNA". It matches the Rfam family "Bacterial large subunit ribosomal RNA", at positions 844 to 1980 of the family's 2925-position model. The record is from RNAcentral.